UUGUGGGGUUNGCCACCANGNCAACGACGGGUAGCUCGGCCUGANAGGUGACCGGCCACACUGGGACUGAGACACGGCCCAGACUCCUACGGGAGGCAGCAGUGGGGAAUAUUGGACAAUGGGCGAAAGCCUGAUCCAGCAACGCCGCGUGAGGGAUGACGGCCUUCGGGUUGUAAACCUCUUUCAGCAGGGACGAAGGCAAGUGACGGUACCUGCAGAAGAAGCACCGGCCAACUACGUGCCAGCAGCCGCGGUAAUACGUAGGGUGCGAGCGUUGUCCGGAAUUAUUGGGCGUAAAGGGCUCGUAGGCGGUCUGUCACGUCGGGAGUGAAAACUCAGGGCUUAACCCUGAGCCUGCUCCCGAUACGGGCAGACUAGAGGUAUGCAGGGGAGAACGGAAUUCCUGGUGUAGCGGUGAAAUGCGCAGAUAUCAGGAGGAACACCGGUGGCGAAGGCGGUUCUCUGGGCAUUACCUGACGCUGAGGAGCGAAAGUGUGGGGAGCGAACAGGAUUAGAUACCCUGGUAGUCCACACCGUAAACGUUGGGCGCUAGGUGUGGGACUCAUU
Molecule: ribosomal RNA, 567 nt
Filed under: uncultured Actinomycetes bacterium
Lineage: Bacteria; Bacillati; Actinomycetota; Actinomycetes
Description: bacterial SSU rRNA
Rfam family: Bacterial small subunit ribosomal RNA
Source: RNAcentral